Molecule: small RNA, 257 nt
Filed under: Eucalyptus grandis
Lineage: Eukaryota; Viridiplantae; Streptophyta; Magnoliopsida; Myrtales; Myrtaceae
Description: Early nodulin 40
Rfam family: Early nodulin 40
Source: Rfam by way of RNAcentral
AUGGAAGGCUUUUGGCAUGCAUCUCUCCAUGGAUCUUGAAAAGAAGCAAUUUGGCUAUAUGGGGACGGAGAGGGAUUCCCCCCGCUCCUCAUGAAACAUCUAAUCAGUUUGCCGGGACACUAACCAAAAGCAUCACCACCGUCGGGCCGCAUCGGAGGAGGAGAUCGAAAUUAGCAGAGAUGGGAGGUUUUUGGGUAUUGCCCUGGCAAACCGGCAAGUCACACAACGGCUUUCAAGGCUUUUAAUUAUCAGGUCUU